Molecule: long non-coding RNA, 2673 nt
Organism: Culex pipiens pallens (northern house mosquito)
Lineage: Eukaryota; Metazoa; Arthropoda; Insecta; Diptera; Culicidae
Exons: 2
Source: RefSeq, a predicted model, not a curated record
ACUUUUUCGGGCGUUUUUCUGUUACGUUGACUAGCUUUGGAGUUUUCUCCAAACACUGUGCACAUAGGGUAUAUGGCCCUAUUUUGGACCUACUAUGCAAAGCGUCAACACAUUUCGCAUGGUUCUCAGGAACGGUCUAACUAAUUUGGCUCGUUUCAGGAUUGUUUUGUGCCUUAAUUUAUGCUUAAUAAAGUGUACUAUUGAAAAUUGAAAUUAAUUUAACCAUUUCAUUGUAAUAAGCAUUUCAAGUAAAACAUUUUUUGGAUGCUUUUUGGACUUAUUGAAUGUAUUUUGGAGACAUCGCUGAACCUAUUUUGGACCCACACUCUGAUUGGUUGAAAUUUGGACAACUCGAAUUGCGGCGUGCGGCGGCAACACGCACACUUACAAAAAACUCGGUCUGAUAAACCAAAGGGCCUAUCCACGAUUAUAAUUUGGAAAAUAUUUAUUUCAGAAAUUAAAUAAUUAUGAUAAAACAAUGGAUUUGAAUUUGAAAACGUGUUUUAAUUAUAUUGAAUGGAAACUCACGCAUCUUUAGCAGCCUGAACUACCUCGAUUAAUAAAAAUAGGUCCAAAAUAGGUACUAGGUCCAAAAUAGGGUCAUAUACCCUAACAAAAUCUUUGUUUUCGCAGAGGGGACUUUUGCCAAACAUUUGGCACACUGCGCAACGUAACCUGGCAACGCAGGACCAGCCUGAUAGUAAUGCAAUGAUAUCGGAUCAAAGCAAGUUUCCCUUUUUGAAAAAUUUCUGGGAAAGGCUCGAGUUCGGCUCCACACACAUACAAUUUGUCUUCCAAAUAACGUUCGAUACGGGACAUUAGCGCCUUGUCCUUCCCGAUACUAUACUGAGCGUAAAGCAGUCGCGGAAAGUUACAUUCUGUGCAUCGUACAAUUUUCCUUGCCCGUGUGUAAGCCAGUUGGAAAGGCGCUUUUGAGUUGCUUUCGUCGGUUCUUGUCGGCAAAGUCUUGCUCGGAACGUGAUGAUCAGACGGUUCUUGCCCGUAGACUUCCUCGAAAGAUAAAAACUUAUCCCCGAGAGGCUCCGUGUUGGCAACCACUUGAUCUCUUCAAAAACUUCUCUCGGCAGUCGGAUUGCGGAGUGGAACUCACAUUCUGCGUCAAUGCACUUUUUCACCUGGAAGGAAUAGGUUGUGCACUUGACGUGCUUUUCGACAAAACGUGCGAAGCUUGCAAUUUGAUAAACUUCGGUUUUCAACAGCUUUUUGUUGAAGUCGAUCUCCGGCCAGCACCUAUAAUAUGAAUUAAAUUUUAAAUUCAUGGUUUACAAUUCUGUAUUUUAAUCUGCAGUGAAUGCCAUUGAUAUUGCUUUCAAGAUGAAUCAUCGAUUUACAAAAUAAGGGGCAACAACCAAUUUAAAACUAGCAUCGCAGAAAAAUUCUAGAGUGUUUUCAGUCACCCUAAUCGCAGACCAUCAAACACACAAAAACUUCGCUUUAGCAUAAGCAUAAGCAUAAGCAUAGGUGCCCACCCGCAGUUGCUACUCCGUUAUUGACCAGGACCUCCAGAAGUUACAUCCACGAGCCGUGGAAGAUGAGUGGGUGCUAUCUUUCCUCGCUUCGCAACUUCUCAAAGGCCCCUAUCAUGCUGAUCAAUACCGGCGCCGGCCACGACCAGUGGUAGAGUCACGGGGAAGUGGAUGGGAAUGUUAGUCCGAUACUUGAGUGAUAGAGACCGCCCAAUCGACUGCUUCUCCGACAAAGUAUCACAUGAGUUUUGAGGGGGUUAGUAGAUGGGUAUGAGGUCAGGAUUCACGAGUGGCAGUGAUGUGACCAUGAGCAUUUUGUUUAUCGGUUGAAAAUUUUAAAUCUUAGGCAACCGGCUGCGGAAAGAUAAAUAAUUGAUUAUUUAAAAAGUUUUUUAAUCGAACGCGUGCCAACCGAGCAGUAGUGCUAUGGGCUGGACUUAUCAGUUUUUUGUUCUGUUUGUACAAUUUAGAUAACGCGGGCAAAUUUCAAAAAAUAGUAAAUAAAAGACGCUUUACGCUUUAACUGCCAGUUGGAAUAAAUUAUUACGAUCAACGGAUAUAAACGUAAAGAAAACAGGACACCACGUAACCGAUUGUAAUGAAAUUAAAACAAUAACUUUAACGAACUAAACCGGCGGCGUGCCUUCCAAUCAACGAUGAUAAAAGAAGGACUUAUGAAAAAUAAAAUAUCAAAUAAAGGCUCCGAAAACACGUUGCAGAGUAACCGCGAAGUCCCGCUACUCACAAUCGAAUCAACAAAAUUCAAAAACGUGCGCUAAUGGUCUAUCCUAAAUGUCAGCGUGUCUUUCGAUAAACGAUUCUAUAGAAAUGAGUUUUUCACCGCGAAAAUUUAACACAUUAUUUGGAUUGUAUCAAUCUACUGGUACAGUUGACAAACUAACGAAACGACAGCAAAAUGAUCAAGAACGCGUAUACUUAAUUAUUUAAUAAUGACCCUAUAACGAUUAUUUUCAAUGAGAUAUGAUUUGGAUUUAUCGACCGAUUCUGUAGAUUUUACGCGGUUUUCAAUAUUUAUUGGGCUGAAAAAAGAACAAAUAAACUCAUUCACACUCUCAUACACACAUAAACUAAUUUACAUUUUUAGACUUCAACAUUAUAGCGAGUAAGAUUUUUUAAAUUAGACUUGAAAUUAUUUUUGAAAGGCAUCAAUAUAAUGAAAACAGCC